Molecule: ribosomal RNA, 425 nt
Filed under: uncultured bacterium
Lineage: Bacteria
Description: partial 16S ribosomal RNA
Rfam family: Bacterial small subunit ribosomal RNA
Source: RNAcentral
GUGGGGAAUCUUGCGCAAUGGGCGAAAGCCUGACGCAGCCAUGCCGCGUGAAUGAUGAAGGUCUUAGGAUUGUAAAAUUCUUUCACCGGGGACGAUAAUGACGGUACCCGGAGAAGAAGCCCCGGCUAACUUCGUGCCAGCAGCCGCGGUAAUACGAAGGGGGCUAGCGUUGCUCGGAAUUACUGGGCGUAAAGGGCGCGUAGGCGGACAGUUUAGUCAGAGGUGAAAGCCCAGGGCUCAACCUUGGAAUUGCCUUCGAUACUGGCUGUCUUGAGUACGGGAGAGGUGAGUGGAACUCCGAGUGUAGAGGUGAAAUUCGUAGAUAUUCGGAAGAACACCAGUGGCGAAGGCGACUCACUGGCCCGUUACUGACGCUGAGGCGCGAAAGCGUGGGGAGCAAACAGGAUUAGAAACCCGUGUAGUCC